RNAcentral lists this transfer RNA (99 nucleotides) under Ralstonia mannitolilytica. Its description in RNAcentral is "tRNA-Ser". Lineage: Bacteria; Pseudomonadati; Pseudomonadota; Betaproteobacteria; Burkholderiales; Burkholderiaceae. The record is from RNAcentral.
GCACGCGGUAGGCGGCUGGAUCGCGCUGCCGGCGGUGCUGCUGCUGGGCGCGCGCCACGGCCGCUACAAGGACGACGGUCGCAUCGCCGCGCAUCCGCC